GACGAACGCUGGCGGCGUGCUUAACACAUGCAAGUCGAACGGAAAGGCCCUGCUUGCAGGGUACUCGAGUGGCGAACGGGUGAGUAACACGUGGGUGAUCUGCCCUGCACUUCGGGAUAGGCCUGGGAAACUGGGUCUAAUACCGGAUAGGAGCCAUUUUUAGUGUGAUGGUUGGAAAGUUUUUUCGGUGUAGGAUGAGCUCGCGGCCUAUCAGCUUGUUGGUGGGGUAAUGGCCUACCAAGGCGGCGACGGGUAGCCGGCCUGAGAGGGUGGACGGCCACAUUGGGACUGAGAUACGGCCCAGACUCCUUCGGGAGGCAGCAGUGGGGAAUAUUGCACAAUGGGCGCAAGCCUGAUGCAGCGACGCCGCGUGGGGGAUGACGGCCUUCGGGUUGUAAACUCCUUUCGCUAGGGACGAAGCUUUUUGUGACGGUACCUAGAGAAGAAGCACCGGCUAACUACGUG
This 465-nucleotide ribosomal RNA is filed under the name uncultured bacterium. RNAcentral describes it as "partial 16S ribosomal RNA". It matches the Rfam family "Bacterial small subunit ribosomal RNA", at positions 28 to 507 of the family's 1533-position model. The record is from RNAcentral.